This 762-nucleotide ribosomal RNA is filed under the name uncultured Glomus. RNAcentral's name for it is "eukaryotic LSU rRNA". It matches the Rfam family "Eukaryotic large subunit ribosomal RNA", at positions 38 to 648 of the family's 3401-position model. The record is from RNAcentral. Lineage: Eukaryota; Fungi; Glomeromycota; Glomeromycetes; Glomerales; Glomeraceae.
GCAUAUCAAUAAGCGGAGGAAAAGAAAAUAACAAUGAUUCCCCUAGUAACUGCGAGUGAAGAGGGACAAGCUCAAAUUUUAAAUCUAUCGGGUUUUACCUGAUCGAGUUGUAAUUUGAAGAUGGCGUUUUCUGUGUUUCUGAUCAGUCCAAGUCCUUUGGGAUAAGGCAUCAUGGAGGGUGAGAAUCCCGUUCGGUUGAUCAGAUUCGCUUUACGAUACGUUAUCAAAGAGUCAAGUUGUUUGGGAUUGCAGCUUAAAAUGGGAGGUAAAUUUCUCCUAAGGCUAAAUAACGGCGAGAGACCGAUAGCGAACAAGUACCGUGAGGGAAAGAUGAAAAGAACUUUGAAAAGAGAGUUAAACAGUACGUGAAAUUGUUGAAAGGGAAACGAUUGAAGCCAGUCGUACCUUCGGGUAAUCAGCCUUUUGGGUGUGAUUUUGUGGAGCGUGAAGAGUUAAACGCCUUCAUGCCUGCAUAUUCGUGCACUUUGGGUGUACUUGCCCGUAUGGUUGGUUAACAUCAAUUUUGGUGGUCAUAAAAUGACUGGAGGAAUGUAGCUUCGAUCUUGUAUUGAAGUGCUAUAGCCUUCGGUAGAUGUGAUGAUCGAGAUUGAGGAUUGCAACGGAUACCCUUCGGGGCUACCUGUCUGGUCUCUGAUCGUUGCUCUGGUGCCGAAAGCUUGCUUACGGUUAUCAAAGUCGAUGGUCAAUAGGUUAGAACGGGUUAAAUUCGUUAAGGAUGUUGACGUAAUGGCUUUAAACGAC